AAUAUGUUCCGUAUAUUCUGAUGGAAUGGAAUGGAAUAUCAGAAAACUGGUAUAAUCAUUGUCCAGAUAUAACUCCAUUACUUCAGGAAUUUCAUGACUCUAAAUACUACCCUGCAGAUUUUAACACCAUGAGGGAAAUUUCAAUUAAAAAUGAGAGUUCCUGGUUAAAUGUUUUAUGGAUACACAGAGAUGCAAAACUGCAAACUUCACUAAAUUCAGAAGAUUAGUGAACAGACGACAUCAGAUAGAACUUAUAGAAACUUAUAUAGAAAGGACUUACUAUAACUAGUUAGGAACCCAGCUUUACCUGGACACUAACAUUUCUCUAAUAAGGCAACCCGAUUGAUUUGGAAAUAUUAAAGAAAAGAAUAUUCAAGCUACAUGGGCUCCUGAGAAUUAUGAUCAUAAAAAUGACAGGCAUCCAAACAGAGAUUACUACUUUUUAUAUCAAUAUAGAAGUAGUAAUCUCUGUUAAAUCUGUUUUAUGUCCGAUCAUAACCCCUAGAACUAUUUGCCUCAACUUUUAAUUGGGAAUACCGUUGGAACUUCAAACAUCUUCUCAACUUUGAUUGAAAAUUCUAAGUUACCAUACAAAGCUUGGUUCCCAAACUAAAGUAAUAAUUUACAGGUUGAUCAAGUUCAAAUAAAUAAGUUCUGUGAUUUUAAGUUUGGUUUGUACAACAUUUAGUAUAAAUUCAAUUUCAAAUAUUUUUUUAAAAAUGCUCUACAGUCAUGUUGUUAAAUCUAUAUCUAGUUUAAUUUACUAAAAUGAAAUAACAAAAAAAACUUAAAGGGACUGUAAGCUUAUUUUUAAGUGACCCUCCAUCUGUACCCUUAUUAAUAAUUUGGAAUAUCUUUGCAUCAAUUGGAUUUACGCUUACAAUCCCUUUAAGAUAUAAUUAUAUCAAAUCAUUUUUUACAA
Eurytemora carolleeae is the source of this 922-nucleotide long non-coding RNA. RefSeq lists it as uncharacterized. NCBI's taxonomy places the organism in Eukaryota, Metazoa, Arthropoda, Copepoda, Calanoida, Temoridae. The transcript is spliced from 3 exons. The record is from RefSeq and is a predicted model, not a curated record.